CGGUGAUAAGCUUCGCCGAGC
RNAcentral lists this small nuclear RNA (21 nucleotides) under Arabidopsis thaliana (thale cress). Its description in RNAcentral is "snRNA_08835". Lineage: Eukaryota; Viridiplantae; Streptophyta; Magnoliopsida; Brassicales; Brassicaceae. The record is from RNAcentral.